Molecule: non-coding RNA, 70 nt
Organism: Acyrthosiphon pisum (pea aphid)
Lineage: Eukaryota; Metazoa; Arthropoda; Insecta; Hemiptera; Aphididae
Source: RefSeq, marked provisional
UGGAAGACUAGUGAUUUUGUUGUUUUAAAAAAAAAGUAUUUUCCUAACAAGAAGUCUCUAGUCUUCUUAC